RNAcentral lists this ribosomal RNA (484 nucleotides) under uncultured bacterium. RNAcentral's name for it is "partial 16S ribosomal RNA". It matches the Rfam family "Bacterial small subunit ribosomal RNA", at positions 30 to 507 of the family's 1533-position model. The record is from RNAcentral.
AUUGAACGCUGGCGGCAGGCCUAACACAUGCAAGUCGAGCGGAUGAAGGGAGCUUGCUCCUGGAUUCAGCGGCGGACGGGUGAGUAAUGCCUAGGAAUCUGCCUGGUAGUGGGGGAUAACGUCCGGAAACGGGCGCUAAUACCGCAUACGUCCUGAGGGAGAAAGUGGGGGUUCUUCGGACCUCACGCUAUCAGAUGAGCCUAGGUCGGAUUAGCUAGUUGGUGGGGUAAAGGCCUACCAAGGCGACGAUCCGUAACUGGUCUGAGAGGAUGAUCAGUCACACUGGAACUGAGACACGGUCCAGACUCCUACGGGAGGCAGCAGUGGGGAAUGUUGGACAAUGGGCGAAAGCCUGAUCCAGCCAUGCCGCGUGUGUGAAGAAGGUCUUCGGAUUGUAGAGCACUUUAAGUUGGGAGGAAGGGCAGUAAGUUAAUACCUUGCUGUUUUGACGUUACCAACAGAAUAAGCACCGGCUAACUUCGUG